RNAcentral lists this unclassified non-coding RNA (590 nucleotides) under Hevea brasiliensis (rubber tree). The record is from RNAcentral. Lineage: Eukaryota; Viridiplantae; Streptophyta; Magnoliopsida; Malpighiales; Euphorbiaceae.
CUUAUGGAAAAGCUUCCUGGAACUUUCUCCAAGAUAUUUGUUAGAGAGGGUGUUGUGCAUGCUGUAGAUCAGCUUGUCUUAGCUGGAAAUCCAAAUUCCACUUCUACCCAAGCAUCCUCUGUUGACAAGGACAAUGAUUACGUGUCUGGAACAUCAUCUCGUUCCAGACGUUAUAAACGUCGCAGUGGCAACUCAAAUUCUGAAGGAAAUUCAUCAGAAGAAUCCAAGAAUCCUAUUUCAAUAGAACUUGGAGGUGAUCCAGCGAUUGUUGGACCCAAUGGUUAAUACCAAUCUUCGCAUGGCAGUCAGUGCAUGUGCUAAGGCUUUCAAAGAUAAAUAUUUUCCAUCUGAUCCUGGGGCUUCUGAGGUUGGAGUUACUGAUGAUCUUUUACAGUUAAAAAAUCUUUGCAUGAAGUUGAAUUUUGGUGUUGAUGACCAAAAGACUAAAGCAAAAGGAAAAUCCAAGGCAUCUGGGUCUCAUGCUGUUGAUAGUUCUGCUAAUAAAGAAGAGUAUUUGAUUGGUGUGAUAUCUGAGAUGCUGGCAGAACUAAGCAAGGGGGAUGGUGUAUCCACUUUUGAGUUUAUUGGAA